RNAcentral lists this ribosomal RNA (512 nucleotides) under uncultured bacterium. Its description in RNAcentral is "partial 16S ribosomal RNA". It matches the Rfam family "Bacterial small subunit ribosomal RNA", at positions 28 to 523 of the family's 1533-position model. The record is from RNAcentral.
GACGAACGCUGGCGGCGUGCCUAAUACAUGCAAGUCGAGCGGAACUGGGGGAGCUUGCUCCUUCCAGUUUAGCGGCGGACGGGUGAGUAACACGUGGGCAACCUGCCCUGCAGAUCGGGAUAACUCCGGGAAACCGGUGCUAAUACCGAAUAGUUUGGCGCCUCUCCUGAGGCGCUACGGAAAGACGGUUUCGGCUGUCACUGCAGGAUGGGCCCGCGGCGCAGUAGCUAGUUGGUGGGGUAACGGCCCACCAAGGCGACGAUGCGUAGCCGACCUGAGAGGGUGACCGGCCUCACUGGGACUGAGACACGGCCCAGACUCCUACGGGAGGCAGCAGUAGGAAAUCUUCCGCAAUGGACGCAAGUCUGACGGAGCAACGCCGCGUGAGUAACGAAGGUUUUCGGAUCGUAAAACUCUGUUGUGAGGGAAGAACACGUACCAACUAACUAUUGGUACCUUGACGGUACCUCACCAGAAAGCCACGGCUAACUACGUGCCAGCCGCCGCCGUAA